This 84-nucleotide ribosomal RNA is filed under the name Pseudomonas sp. FW306-02-F08-AA. RNAcentral also lists the same sequence under 14 other names. Lineage: Bacteria; Pseudomonadati; Pseudomonadota; Gammaproteobacteria; Pseudomonadales; Pseudomonadaceae. The record is from RNAcentral.
CUUGACGACCAUAGAGCAUUGGAACCACCUGAUCCCAUCCCGAACUCAGCAGUGAAACGAUGCAUCGCCGAUGGUAGUGUGGGG